AUCGCUUCUCGGCCUUUUGGCUAAGAUCAAGUGUAGUAUCUAUUCUUAUCAGUUUAAAACUAGUGGUGAAAUGAGAUGUAGACAGUAACAUUUGAAUUACAACAUCA
This is a small nuclear RNA of Equus asinus (donkey), 107 nucleotides long. Its record names the gene U2. It matches the Rfam family "U2 spliceosomal RNA". From Rfam's summary of the family: U2 is a small nuclear RNA (snRNA) component of the spliceosome (involved in pre-mRNA splicing). Complementary binding between U2 snRNA (in an area lying towards the 5' end but 3' to hairpin I) and the branchpoint sequence (BPS) of the intron results the bulging out of an unpaired adenosine, on the BPS, which initiates a nucleophilic attack at the intronic 5' splice site, thus starting the first of two transesterification reactions that mediate splicing. NCBI's taxonomy places the organism in Eukaryota, Metazoa, Chordata, Mammalia, Perissodactyla, Equidae. The record is from Ensembl.